Molecule: ribosomal RNA, 460 nt
Filed under: uncultured bacterium
Lineage: Bacteria
Description: partial 16S ribosomal RNA
Rfam family: Bacterial small subunit ribosomal RNA
Source: RNAcentral
CCUACGGGUGGCAGCAGUGAGGAAUAUUGGUCAAUGGCCGUAAGGCUGAACCAGCCAAGUAGCGUGAGGGAAGACUGCCCUAUGGGUUGUAAACCUCUUUUAUGCGGGGAUAAAGGUGUCCACGUGUGGAUGUUUGCAGGUACCGCAUGAAUAAGGACCGGCUAAUUCCGUGCCAGCAGCCGCGGUAAUACGGAAGGUCCGGGCGUUAUCCGGAUUUAUUGGGUUUAAAGGGAGCGUAGGCCGGUCUUUAAGCGUGCCGUGAAAUUUUGUGGUUCAACCAGGAGAGUGCGGCGCGAACUGGAGACCUGGAGUGCGCGGAAGGCAGGCGGAAUUCGUGGUGUAGCGGUGAAAUGCUUAGAUAUCACGAAGAACCCCGAUUGCGAAGGCAGCCUGCCAAGCCAUGACUGACGCUGAUGCACGAAAGCGUGGGGAUCAAACAGGAUUAGAUACCCCUGUAGUC